RNAcentral lists this ribosomal RNA (490 nucleotides) under uncultured bacterium. RNAcentral's name for it is "partial 16S ribosomal RNA". It matches the Rfam family "Bacterial small subunit ribosomal RNA", at positions 30 to 507 of the family's 1533-position model. The record is from RNAcentral.
AUUGAACGCUGGCGGCAUGCCUAACACAUGCAAGUCGAACGGUAACAGGAAGAAGCUUGCUUCUUUGCUGACGAGUGGCGGACGGGUGAGUAAUGUCUGGGAAACUGCCUGAUGGAGGGGGAUAACUACUGGAAACGGUAGCUAAUACCGCAUAACGUCGCAAGACCAAAGAGGGGGACCUUCGGGCCUCUUGCCAUCGGAUGUGCCCAGAUGGGAUUAGCUAGUAGGUGGGGUAACGACUCACCUAGGCGACGAUCCCUAGCUGGUCUGAGAGGAUGACCAGCCACACUGGAACUGAGACACGGUCCAGACUCCUACGGGAGGCAGCAGUGGGGAAUAUUGCACAAUGGGCGCAAGCCUGAUGCAGCCAUGCCGAGUGUAUGAAGAAGGCCUUCGGGUUGUAAAGUACUUUCAGCGGGGAGGAAGGGAGUAAAGUUAAUACCUUUGCUCAUUGACGUUACCCGCAGAAGAAGCACCGGCUAACUCCGUG